RNAcentral lists this ribosomal RNA (250 nucleotides) under uncultured archaeon. RNAcentral's name for it is "partial 16S ribosomal RNA". It matches the Rfam family "Bacterial small subunit ribosomal RNA", at positions 524 to 773 of the family's 1533-position model. RNAcentral also lists the same sequence under 1 other name. The record is from RNAcentral.
UACGUAGGGGGCGAGCGUUAUCCGGAUUCAUUGGGCGUAAAGCGCGCGUAGGCGGCCCGGCAGGCCGGGGGUCGAAGCGGGGGGCUCAACCCCCCGAAGCCCCCGGAACCUCCGCGGCUUGGGUCCGGUAGGGGAGGGUGGAACACCCGGUGUAGCGGUGGAAUGCGCAGAUAUCGGGUGGAACACCGGUGGCGAAGGCGGCCCUCUGGGCCGAGACCGACGCUGAGGCGCGAAAGCUGGGGGAGCGAAC